Molecule: long non-coding RNA, 84 nt
Filed under: Coturnix japonica (Japanese quail)
Lineage: Eukaryota; Metazoa; Chordata; Aves; Galliformes; Phasianidae
Description: lncRNA (ENSCJPG00005014865.1)
Source: RNAcentral
GGAGCUUGCUCACAUCUCUGGUACUUCAGGCACUUCACAUGAAAACAGGAGAGCCGGUGUAGGAGGGAAGCUGUUCAGGAUCAA